UACAGAGGGUGCGAGCGUUGUCCGGAAUCACUGGGCGUAAAGGGCGCGUAGGCGGUGACUUAAGCGUGUGGUGAAAGCCUGGGGCUCAACCCCGGGUCGGCCGUGCGAACUGUUUUGCUUGAGCACUGUAGAGGCAGGCGGAAUUCCGGGUGUAGCGGUGGAAUGCGUAGAGAUCCGGAAGAACCCCCGUUGCGAAGGCGGCCUUGUGGGCAGUAACUUACACUGAGGCGCGACAGCGUGGGGAGCAAACAGG
RNAcentral lists this ribosomal RNA (253 nucleotides) under uncultured bacterium. RNAcentral describes it as "partial 16S ribosomal RNA". It matches the Rfam family "Bacterial small subunit ribosomal RNA", at positions 524 to 776 of the family's 1533-position model. The record is from RNAcentral.